This 36924-nucleotide long non-coding RNA is filed under the name Populus trichocarpa (black cottonwood). RNAcentral's name for it is "long non-coding RNA (PTRI_LNC003880)". The record is from RNAcentral. Lineage: Eukaryota; Viridiplantae; Streptophyta; Magnoliopsida; Malpighiales; Salicaceae.
AUAUUUCCAAGAUGAACUCGAAGGCCUUUCUUAUCGCAUGCAUUCUCUUAGCUACCAUCGUCUUCUCUCCCCCGUCCACUUGCACUGCUCGAGAAUUGGCCGAGCGAGGUGAGAUUUUAUUUCCAACAUUAACUUAAGAAAAGCAGUUCAUUUUGUGUGUGUAAUCUCUGUGUACGCCGGCGUUUUUUCAUGCAAACAAACUUUUGUUAUAAAACUGAUGAGUCAACCUUUACUUUUACUUCCAGCAUUAAUUAAGUUAAGAUAAUCAUUAAUUUCAUGUUUUGUAUGUAUAUAUUAUUUAAUUAAUCUGUCGUAAGCUAUCUUAUAUAUAUAUAUAUAUAUAUAUAAAGAUGAUUCUGCUAUAAUAUCAGAUUAUGUGAACAUGAAUUUGCUAUAACAUGCGUGAAUCUUGCAGAUCCCAUCCCCACCUAUAAACCAGCAGGUUGCCCAAAUCCUUACAAGCGUAAUUGUGGGCGCCCUUAAGAUUAGAAGCAAGCAAAGUUGAGUGCUGCUUAAAAGUAUGGAGAGCUUCUGCUGUCUUUAUCAAUAUGUAAAAUGAUCAGAACUAUUUAUGUGAGAAUACUAAAUAAAGUUCUCCAGUGGAUUAGAAGAAGCAAGCAAAGUUGUGAAGUAUGGACGGCUCAUAGUGUCUUUAUCAAUAUGUAAAAUUAAUGUUAUGUUGAUAUGGGAACUAUUUAUGUGAGAAAAAUAAAUGAAGUUCUUAGUGAGUGAGUUUCAUGGUAUCUUUUGAGGUUUUAAUUUCGGUCAUUAUGCAGUCCUCUGUUUGAAAAUUACAUUGAAUCACAAAAACAAACACUCUCUAACUCUAAUACCAUAUCAAUUUAACUUCAAAGCUGCACAGCCCUUGUUUGAGUGGGGUUUUUUCCUUUAAUUUUGUCAAAUGACAUGGAAAAGAAAGUGAUUUCAUAAUUUAUCAAGAAUCUCUCUAUUAUUUUUUAUUUUAUUUUCCAUUAAUGCAAUACUCAGUUGAACAUGUCUCUUCGGGCUGUAAUAUUAACAUGUAAUAUUUUAAUUGUUUUUUUAAUUAUUAAUUUUUAUUUCUAAUUUUCUCGGUCUUUACCAACCAAAAAAUAUUAUCAAUAAAUAGUGACUAAAAUAGCAACAUUAUUUUUUAUUGAAAAACAUCACCAUAAUUUAUCGAUGAUAUUUUUUUUUGUUAGUAUUUAAUAAUUUUCUAACACUGACUAGAGUUUUAAAGGAUACCAAUCGUCCCACCAUAGAUGAGUGGUCUUACCAUUUCAAACGGUUUGAUGAAUUGCUUUUGUACUAUUAGAGAAUAAUAUAAAUUAUAUCUUGAGACCUCAUUUAACAUCUUAAACUUUUAGGUUGAAUUGGUUUUUUGAUAUGGUAUCAGAGCCUUGAUGACCAAGCGGUCACGAGUUCAAAUCUCACCACCCUCAUUUAUUUGAGAAAAAUUAAAGAUAAGAUAAUAUGAGCUCAAGCCCAAAAGGCUUUCUUUUGAGGGUGUGUGUUAGGGAAUAAUGAGUUGAAUUAGUUCUUUAACACGUACAAAUGUUAUAAGCUAGAGUAAUUAUCAUCGAUGUUAAGAAUAACUAUUGGGUACUUUAUGGCUCCAAAAGCUAUUGCAUAAAUGUAAUUACAUCAUUUUUAAGCAACUUUUGUACUAGUUGUUAGUAGUAUAUUGGCUCUUGCUCCGCAGCAGAUCAAUAUUAAGAAUAUAGUUGUUGUAACCCAUUUUUGGGUCCCCACAAAAUAUAUAUAAAAAUAUAUAGCCAAAGGAGUUUAGAAAAAUAAUAAGAGGUGGGAGCGCUCAGAAAGAAUCAGAAAAAAAUUCAUUGAGGAGAUUCAGAAAUACAAGGAGUGAAAUUUUACAGUAUAUAUUUGACUGAGGAGAGCCCUGUUGGAAGAGAAAAUUUAAUUUGAAGAGAAAAGGGCCAAAAUUGGAUGUUUAUGGACUCAAUUGGAUUUUAUUGAAGGUUUAUUUGAAUUUAUAGAGGUUUUGAUUGCAAGGAAAAUUGAGUUUUAAGUCAAUUUAGGCUUUAAUUGGAAGAAAUUAAAGUUCUGAGGUCAAAUUAUAAUUUUUGAGAGUUGAUUUGGUUAAAUCAAGGGCUUAAUUGCAUAAAUAUUGAAGUUUAAGGGCCAAUUAGGGAAUUAAUUGAAGAAAUUCAAAACCAAGGACCACAUUGGAAAAGGCGCGCAAGUAUAGGGGCUGCAAUUAACAAAAUCCGGGGGCCAAAUUGAAGAAAUUGAAAGUUUAAUGGUCAAGUAGGGAUGAGAUUGAACGAAACUGAAAGUCGGAGGACUAAAUUGAGAAUUGGCAAAGAAAUCCCUAUUUUUAUCAAAAACGGCGCCGUUUUGCAUUUAAAAAAAAAAAAAAAAAAGAACCAGUUACUGUUCAUUUUCUUCCCCACCAAGCUGCCCGAGUGGCCGACUUCCAGGCGUGUUUUCUGCCUCGUUUGGCCCCCAAAUCCGACAAAAAAUGCGCCAACAUCUCCACCUGAAACCCCUUUAUCCCGGAGAAUGGUCCGGUCGGGUCGAAAAAUUUAGAAACGGCUCCGUUGAGUGGCUCUAAGUGGCCACCUCGGGCAGUUCACAGCCUUGAGCUGCCAAAUUUGGCAGCUCGAGGUGCACACUUUGAACCAACGGUUUGGAUUCCUCGAGUCGAAUCAAGGGCUGAGAAUUUUUCCCCAUUGAAGACAAGAUUACCCUCUUUCCAGCCCUAGGAGAAAUUUUCAUGCUGAAACGGUUGGCAGGAGGGAGCUCAAAAUUGGGAUAAAAUCAGCUUUUCCUGCUCGGUUUUCCUGCAACCAGCCUUCUCUUUCUUUUUUUUCUCUCCGCCGUGGCUUCCAGCCGCCACCACUGAUCUCUCCACUGUCCUUACCACAAAACACCACAUCCCAUCCAUCACCCAGCAGCCUCACCACAGGCCACAGUACCCCUCUUUUCCUCCCUCUCCUCUCUACAAAAAUCUCCUCCUCUGCCAUCGUGAUUCAGACAGCCUCCACACCGACAGCAGAGGUAGCAACCAUCUUGCCCAAAAGCUCUCUUCCACUCCUACCAGCAGCAACCGGAGUAACAGCUCCUUCCUCAGUCACACCAACAGAUCCAGCCGAGAGCUUUCCUUCUCCUCUGCAGGAAUCUGCUCCUGCUUCUUUCAGCCGGGACUAGUGCACGCCUGUCGCCACCCAGCGCCACCGUGAGCCAUAGCCGGAGACAGCAGCCACGAUCACUCAUUCCAGGUACCUCUCCUCUCCCUUUUUUCUGUCCCCUCUUCCCUGUUGUUUUCCUCGGCAUGCAGAACGUGAAUUCACGUUCUGCAGCAAUGGAAAUAUAAUUAGCUGGUUACUGUGCGCUGCACAGUAACCAGCUAAUUAUAAGCACCUGGUUAAUAUGCGCGGUUACUGUACAGGUCAUUAUAUAUUAUGUAUAUUAUAUUGUGUUUUGUUUAUUUAUAUAUAGAUAUAUAUAUAUAAAAAAAUUUAAUUAAUUUCUUCGAAAAAUUAUUUCAAAAAAUAUGUGAUUUUAUGUAAUUUUUAUUACUGUAUUUUGAUCAAUAUCGGUUUGUAUUUUUAUACUGUAAAGAUACAAAUCCGGUAUUAAAAUACCCGGUUUUCGUCAAGACAUAAAAAAAAAAUGUUUUGUUUUCAUGCAUACGGCCUAGUCUCUCCAACAUAUAUAUAUAAAUAUUAUAACAUCAUAUUUUUCACACAACAAAGAAAAUUUCAAAACAAUAUAUGUAUUAGCAUGCAUUUUGGCUUUAAUAACCAGUUUAUUCAAGCCAUGAGAACUAGGCCAAUAUUUCAAAAAUUCUAAAAAAAUAUUUUUGUCCUCUUUUAGUAUAUGGGAUUACGAAUUUAUAUGUAAAACGUAUUCCUGAUGUUAAAAAUAUGAUUUUACAUAGACGUUAGAACGGUUAGGUUUUACCCGAUAAGAUAAGAACCUCCUUAUUGAGGAGGACUUUUCUUGAACCAUAGACGGACCAACAACUAGGAAACAUAACGAGAACUUGAAUUUUAUCAGACAAAUAAACAAUGCAGCUUACCUUAGGUAGGGCAUAUUUGGGGUGCUAAUACCUUCCCUUUACGCAACCAGUCCCCGUACCCAAUCUCUGAGACCAGUUAGGGUUCCUAGUGACCAAAAUACUAGGUGGCGACUCCCAUUCCAUUUUCUUCCAACAAAAGACAAUAUUUUCUUGUCUCCCCACAUUUGCCAGAUAAAUAUCAUACACACUUCCUAGUUUUAAAAGUGGAAUACUCGCCGCGACGCCGCGCACCCGCGACAGAAUGGCGACUCCACUGGGGACCUUGUGGACUAAGCUUUGUUUUUGUCUGAUUUGUUUUUUUGUUCUCUUGUGUUUUUAAUAUACCUUUCCUUUUGUUAUAUGCUUAUAUGCUUUAAAUAUUUUUACACAUAUUGUUCAUGCAUUUGUAUAGAACUGUCUCAUACAUCUUAUAGAACUGUCACAUGCAUCACAUACUUUGAUUUUGAGAAGCACACACAAGCUUUAAGUUAGGUGGGGGAUUAGCGAUUUGCCCUAUGACUAUCGGUCAGGGUUCAGAUGCGUGAAACACCCAACUCAUAUCUGAGUGCCCGCUUGGUAAUGGUGGGUAUACGUACUUUAACCGUUCCUUGCGACGCCCCCAUACUGUCUUUACGAAGAACGUCACUGGGCAGAUAUGAGACCCUUUUAAAGACCAGAUAGAAAACCUACCCAUUCUCACCUAUAUAAAUAGAACUUGUCCUUAGGAUAUCUAUCUUACGUUCAUUUGCAUCAUGAUUAAUAAUUCAUCAAUCCAGGUUUUUAAGCCGAAAUCUUGCCAAAGGAUUACGAAAGUCAUGAAUCGACUUUAAGAUAUACAUUUGCACGAGCAUCAUAUUUUCAUCACGCAUUUGUUUUUAAUUCAUCAUAUGCACGACAGAUCGUGAAACAUAGGUCCCACAUCCAAAGUCCACAACACCCGGUCUAGAUCGAGAAUGGAGAACGAAGAAAGAGCUCACUUAGAGUCACAUUAUCAGACCGAGUUGGAGUCCGUAAAAAAUGAAGUUUCUCGACUAACCGACUUACUCGAGCAGCUUUUAAGAGCUAAGAAUGGGGAGGGAACAUCAGCACAACAGCCUGAAGGAGCGCCAGCAGCUCACAUCCCUCAAGCAUCUCAAAACCAGGGGGCAAACUCGGCCAAUGAACAACAUUUUGUGCCUGUCGCCCCUAUCCAGCCAACUCAUGCUCCAGUCACUGUGGACUUAACAGCGGAGGGAAUCCCGGAUAAUAGGUCUCCCGGUUUGAUGGACCAAGACAAGCUGUCUGCUUUGGAAGAAAGAUUACGGGCAAUUGAGGGUAAUGAUUGGUUUGACCCUAUGCGAGCAGCCGAAGUAUGUUUAGUACCAAACAUCGUGGUGCCAAAAGAUUUUAGGAUACCAGAGUUCAUUAAGUAUACUGGUUUGGAAUGCCCAAACACUCACCUUCGAUCCUACUGCAACAAAAUGGCAGAAGUAAUCCAUGAUGAUAAAUUGCUAAUCUAUUUCUUUCAAGAUAGCCUAGCAGGAUCCGCUUUGAGCUGGUACAUGAAGUUAGACAGUGUCAGGAUUAGGAGCUGGAGAGACUUGGUGGAGGCUUUCCUUAAACAGUACAAGUUUAACAUGGAAAUCGCUCCUGAUCGAACAAGUCUAAUGUCAAUGGAGAAAAGGAGCCAAGAGUCGGUAAGGGCCUAUGCGCAAAGGUGGAGAGAUGAGGCAAUGCAUGUCCAACCCCCUUUGAUAGAAACAGAGAUGGUGACCUUGUUUGCCAAUACCUUUAAAGCACCAUAUUAUGAGCACCUAAUGGGUAGCUCAUCUCAGCAUUUCUACGAUGCGGUACGCAUAGCUGAAAGAAUAGAGCAAGGGAUUAAAGCUGGACGUAUAGCUGAGCCAUUGGAGAUAAAGGGUUUUAUUGGAAGAAAAAUGGAAGGUCACAUUUACGACUUUGAAGGUGGGUCCAAGGGCAAUAUAAUGGAUUCACUCAACCCACAAAUACCUACCCCUCAUGUUGCCCACAUAAACUUUAACAAACCAUUUUCCUCUAAUCGAGCAAAUAACCAGUCAAACAACCAAAACAACUACCAAAGACCAAAUACAAGGUACAUCUCAGAACAACUACCGCCAUUACCCAUGCCUUUGAAGGAAAUGUAUGCCAAACUACUGAGCAUUGGACAAAUAGCUCCUAUCCCUACAUUACCACUACAACCACCAUUCCCCAUCUGGUAUAAGCCCGAGUUGACUUGCGAGUACCAUGCUGGUAUUCCCGGACAUUGUCUUGAAACGUGCUACGCUUUCAAGAACAUGUUGUUGAAGCUCAUCAAGAUAGGAUGGGUGUCGUUUGAAGACACACCCAAUAUCAAUUCAAAUCCAUUGCCUGGUCAUGACAAAAGUAAUAGGGGAUAAAGGGUGUUGCUACCCAAUUUUUGACCCAUGUUUUGAUAAAUUUUUUAAAAAAUCCAAAAAUAGCGAAAAACAUUGAAAAUCCAAAAAAAUACAUUUUUAAUACAUUUGCAUCGUUUUUAGCAUUUUUAGCAUCAUCUUAAAAGAAUUUAAAUUUUCAACGACAUUUGGAACGCGUUCAACUUUUAACGCGUUAUUUUUAAAAUCAUUGAUUUUCUUCAUUGAGUCGACGUUGAUAUUGCUCGUUUUCAAAAAUACAAAAAAAUUAAGAAAAAUCAAAUUUUACAAAAAAGAAAGAAAGUUGAGGGACCAAUUUUGAGAUCCAUGCAACAUUUUACCUAUAAAUACUGGUUCACAACUCAAACAAAAGGGGGGGGGGGUAAUUUUGAAAUUUGAGGGGAGAGGCAACACAAAAACAGAAACCCUAAAAGCCUAAUUUUUUCUCCCCUCACGGGGGAGGCAGCCGCCAGCCCCCCACCGUUUGAUUUUUCUCUUCUCCCUCACCGAAAGAGAGAGCCGCCAGCCCCCCCUGGAUUAUUUUUCUCUUCUCCCUCAACCGGACAACCGAUCUUCCCCACCCUCACAAAUCAGCCUCACCGAAACCCACUGACCAGACGAUUUUCCUCCUCCCCUUGUCCUCUGCCAAACACAAACCAGGCCACACCCUUCUUCCCCUCACAGGAGCUAAACCUUCACCCAGCCAUACUCUCCCCUCAUCUCACCAGGGCUGUUCCUUCACAGCCGGUUUUCCCUCAGCCACUGUGAACGCCAUCUCCAGCCGCUCCCCCAUUUCAACAGAUCUUCCCUCUCAGCUGCUCCCUUCUCCAGCCGCCAGCUCGCCAGACCAAAAGGAGGGCAGAGCCGUUCCCCUUCGUUCUCCCCUCUCGUCGGCCGCCUCCUCAUCUUCCCCGAUCUCUUCAUCUCCAUCAACACCGAAGCUUCAUCCAGCAGCAGCCAACACACGGCAGCACCCACAGAGUCAACAGCCGUUCCCAUCUCCACCCGACAAACCCAGCAGACCCGAACCGGCCACCAGCUGCUGCACAGCCAUCGCCGCCCAAACGCCAGACCUGCCACCCAAAGCAGAGGAGAAGACGAAACCCACAACAAAUUGACCCGCCGUGUAGUCGAAGAAGGAGAAGGGAGAGAAGCCGAUCUGGACCAAAAAGAAAAAAUUAAAAUCAACUGCUGUUGUGCGUUGUUUCUCCUUGUUGCAGGUGACGGUGACCUUCACCGCCGACGUAGGGAGACAGAGAAGAAGAAGAGGUUCCCGAUCCACCGGUUUCUGCCACCUUCAUCGGCGGCGGCGCGUGGAACCACGCGCCGCCAGUGACGCCACUGUUCUGGCAGCUCCAGAAGUCGGCCUGACACUGUUCCGGGUUGUUUGGUUCAUUUUGUAAUUUUCAAAUUGUUUAAUGUAAUAUUUGUGUAAUUUUGAGUUUUUUUUUAUAAUUUGUACUUUGUGUAAAUGUGGAGGAAAAAGAAAAAAAGAAAAGAAAAGAAAAGAAAAGAAAAAAACAAAUAUUAAUAGAAAAAGAGUUGUGCGUGUUUUGUUUUUUUGUUAUGUAUAUUAUUGAAUAAAAAGAAAAAAAAUGAAUUUAAUUUAUAUGCACAAAUAUCUAAAGGACAGAUAAAAAUCAUGUUGUAUUUUCCAUAAAAAUGUAGAACAUGUAUCUACAUAUAUUUUGGGAACUAAUAACUGAUUUAUCAAAGCCUUAGAAUUGGGCUAAAAUUUUAUUUUUAAAACGCAUCAAGUCCACGAAGCAGCUUACCUCAGGUAGGGUGCGUUAGGGGUGCGAAUACCUUCCCUAACCACAACCAGUCCCUUACCCGCGAAUCUUUGACAAGACCAGUACAUCAGGUUUCCUAGUAGCCCUCAAUAAAUUACUAGGUGGCGACCCCAACGAACCAAGCAAGCAAAACACAUAACAACAGAAAAAUCGCCAGCAGAUGCCGCGCGGAUUUUGACGUGCGACAGAAUGGCGACUCCACUGGGGAAGGUAUUGUUUCUGAUGAUAUUGGACUAAGCUUUGUGUAUUUGAUGUGUUUAUGUUUUGCAUUUUUGUCUUGUUUUAUUUUUGUUUUAUUCAUGCAUUUUGUAGAAUUGUCUCAUGCAUCACAUAUUUUAAUUUUUUUAAAGCACACACAAGCUUCAGGUUAGGAGGGGGACUAGCAGCUUACCUUAUGACUUUUAGUCAAGGUUUAAGUUUGUGUAAACCCCAACUCUUCGUUGAGUGCUUAGACUGGUAAUAGUUGGACAUGUGCCAUCUCAUUGCCUACAAGCCCCCAUAUUGCCUCCACGAGGGCAAUCACUGGGACAACAAGAGACCCUUUUUAGAGACCAAGUAAUAAACCUACCUUUUGUCUCACUUAAAAAAUUAGAACCUGCCUUUAGGAUGUGUGCUCCGUAUAUAUUGUUUUGCAUCAGGGCAAACCCUUCUUGAAGCAUCUUGAACUCAAGACUUUUGGGUGACCCAAUGGCCGUCACUUAGAAAAUUUUCAUUGUAGAGUUUGGGCAAGAAUCAAGAUUCUUGUUUCAUCAUACAAGAGUUACGACCAUAUGUCACCCCUCGAAGGGCGAGUUCAUCAUAUAGUUUACAUGUCCAUACAUUUAUCAUGCAUGUACCGGGUUGAAAGAUAGGUUCUCCCACACAAGUUGUGCUACGCGCGAAUGAAGAAAGAUGAUAGAAGCAAAGAAAGUUGUCGGAGAAAGGCUCAUUGUCAAAAGGAAGUUGAGAGCAUCAGAGGUGAAGUAGCCAGAAUCAGAUAUGCUUGAUCAAGUGUAGAGCAUCAAAGGGAAAGGGAAUGUCUACACAGUCUUCUGUGGGAACACUGCUUGUCCAUGUCUCAUUGAAGUUACAUCUCCAUUUUAGUCCUGAACAACAACAGCAAUGCCUUCAGUCAUCAACUAAGGACAACUUUGGUUCUUGUUCAGUUGCACUGCUAAUUGUUCAUCGCCUCCAUAUCUUUCAAUGACACCAAAUAAUUGCUAGCCUUCUGUGCAUGGUGCAUUAGUCUUCUUUGAAGUUACCCCAACUGUUAGCUCAAUUCCAGUUCAGCGGCACAAGAUGUAAAAAAAAAAACAAAAAAAAAACAAAAAAAAAACCCCGAAAAAAAAACUGAAAAAAAAAACCAUGAUUCGACCCUGAACUUCUACGUUGCAGAGCUCUCUCUGUAGAUAUUUCUUUAUGGAUCUGCAAGUGGGGAAUGCAAGAGGGGAUGUAGUAUUUUCAUAUGCUACAAAAAUUCGCCCCAUCAAUUUCAGAACCGAAACACUGGAGUAGGCAGAAGGGUCACACCUGGUCUGAAAACAUGAGCCGUCAUUAAACUUCAACGCGGCAGAGCUCUCUCUACAAAAAUCCGUUUGUGGCUCUGCAAGUAGGGAAUGCAAGAGGGGAUGCAGUACUUUCAUAUGCUACAAAACUUUGGCUCAUCAGUUUCAGCACUGAAACACUGGAGUAGGCCGAAGAGUCAGACCUAGUCUGAAAACAUGAGCAGUCGUCGAACUUUGACGUGUCAGAGCUCUCUCUACAAAAACCCGUUUGUAGCUCUGCAAGUGGAGAAUGCAAGAGGGGAUGUAGUAGUUUCAGAAAAUGUGAAAAUUUAUGCCACCAGUUUCCGCAUCGAAACACUGUAGUAGGCAGAAAAGCCAGACUUGAGCUAGAAAACAGGAGCAAAUAUAGAACUUCACCGUGGCAGAGCUCUCUCUGCAGAAACCUGUUUGUAGAUCUGCAAGUGGAGAAUCCAAGAAGGGAUGCAGCAGUUUCUGAUCAUCUAUAAUUUUCUCUCAUCGGUGUUAGCUUGAAAAUGCAAAAGAAGGGAAAAGAGACAAACCUCGGCUGAAAAAUAGAAAGAAGAUUGAAACUUCAACAGAGCAGAGCUCCCUCUACAGGUGUCUGUUUGCUGCACCAUCAGUGAGGAAUCAAAGAGGAGACAAAGGAGUUUUAGAUUCAUCAAGUUCUCUUCCAGUUUUGACAAUGUGUGAUUCCACACGUCGGCAGUGGCAAUGCUGCAAGUCUCCGGGUGCUGCCAAGAUUACCUAGCUGUUGGAAGGUUUCCAACAAUCCACAAACGACCACAACAACAGGGGAAGAUUGACAUGAUGUUGUGAAGAUUGUCAAAAGAAUUGAACAAGCUAUAAAGAGAGGAAAGAUUGAAGGUUUUGCCAUGGAUUCCAGAACUAUGAAGAGAGUUGAAUCAGAAGAUGACUCUCAAUUGAGAAACCUCAGUUAUUUUGCCUAGUCAAGUCUCGCUCAAGCAUCAACUACUCCAAUGUCUCUGCCAAAGAUAGUCAUUCCUUUGCCAUGUGGGUUUAUUUACCAGCAUCUGCCAGAUUCCAGACUUUUUCCUGACUCCGACAAAACCCAUGCAACCACCGUUUUCUAGGUGGUAUAAUCCAGACAAGAGAUGUGAUGUCAUGGUGGGGUCCUUAGCCAUUUCAAUUGAAUAAUUGCAAGAAUCGAGUCCGCAAAUUGGUGAGCAAAAGACGAGUGGAGUUUGCGAAGGAGGGUGUCAUUGGCUAAAUUGUCGCUAGAACAUCCUCAGAAUGACGAGUGAUCGGAAUUGCUUGGCAAAACAGAGAUAUUGCCAAAGAGGCUGAUCUAAGAAGGGGUUAAACUGUCAAUCAUUUUUGUUAUGAAUUUUUGCCAUUCUGCAUUUUGUUUCGGGAUCACAUCUCCUCCUUGAACGAAACAUGUCUUUCCUUUGUCUUCCUGUUGUUUUGAAAUCAAGAGAUGCUUCUUUCAAAGGGUAUUUUUACAAAAUAUUUUGAUCAAGCUCCAACAUGCGAUUAAGAUUAAUCAAUCCUGAAGAUUAAAAGUAUUUUGAUUGCAGAAAUAACUUGAUGCUUGAAAAUGACAUGAGGUGACCAAACAAUUUUUGAACUCAUACUUCCUGAAACUGAACCACACAUCAUAUAGCUAGUUUUAGCAGUAUGCAUAAUGACAUGUAGUGGAUUCAAUAGUUAUGGACUCGUGAAUCAUGAUUCUUACAAGUCCAAAUCAUUGCACUGGAUGAGGUCAAAAUUUAUCGAUUCUAACCGACCUUGCUUGAAAUGAGAAAAGGCCAUCUUUGUUAUACUUUCACAUUUCUUGAAAUAUUAUCCCUUGCAGUCCCAUUUUGAGCCUGGUAAAGUAUUUUCUUUCAAAAAGAAACCCUGACUAGGAUCACACCCUACAUUGGGGAAAAAUGAGAGAUAUUUUGAAGACACUGAUUGGACUAAUGGAUAAAAGAAAGGCUUAGAACAAAAGUCAAAUGAUUGAGAAAGGGCUAGAAGAAUAAAAGCCAUAGAUUGAGGGCCAUCCAAGAAAACUUUGAGGAAGGCUGUGAGAAAGCAAAAAAAAAAAGAAAAGAAAAAAAAGAGAUUGAAAAAAGAAGAAGUUGAAUCUGCCUUCACUUAAAGGCAAGUCAAAGAUAAAGGAAGGAGAAUGCCUAUCAAUUCUAAGAGUGGCAAAAGAGGUUUCAAUUGAAGAAAGACACAACAAAUGCCAAAAGUCAACACUAAAAAAAUCAAGUUUCAUGUUUUUUGGUGUGUCUAGGAUAAAGCCUUUAGUGUCUUUAAAAAAAAAUUUUUAGAUUGAUUAUUCAUCAUAGAAAAAGUUGGAUUUACAUUAUGACCUAUGUUAAGAGAAUUCUGAUCUUUGAGAUUAACAAGGUUAUAUGUCACUUUCUCCACAAUGACAACAAGAAAGAGAGUUGAUGAAUAGUUGAUGUUGAUCCUAAGUCUUUGAAAUCCUCAAACACUUUUUGAGCUUGUGAAAUUCCUUUCUUUCAUAGCCAUGAACCAUAGCUUGCAUUAUGUGCUUUUAAAAGCCCUUUUUAAUCAAGUAAGCAAUCUGAACCGAUAAAUGGCGAUCUCAAAACUUGAAGAGUUUUCCAUAAGAGUCAUAGCUUCAUGGAUUAAGCUAAUGGUUAUUAUGCAUGCUGAUAAAAUUGGUGUUAAAAAAAAAAAACAAUCUUUCUUGAUAAGUCCUCAAGUUUUGACUUGUGUCUUUUGUUUUUUGAAAUUCACAGAAGGUCACCUCAUCAUAGACCAUCAAAAGAUAUACCCGAAAUCAGAGUCUAAAAUGGAUACAAAGAACCAUGAAAAAAAAAACCAUUUUAGUCUUACAAUGGGUCAAUUUCUGUUUUCAAAAUACAUGACAAUCAAAGGACUGUAUAUUUCGAAUAACGUGUGUUGGAUCUUUGACCGAAGAAACUUGAUUUUCAAAAACUGACAUCUCUCUGAUUUCAUUUCAACAAUUAGACUUGAAUUGACAUGAUCUUUGAAAUAUGAGAGUUGAUUCCAGAACAAGAAAGAUUGUUAAACAACAAGAACAUCGACCGAAUUUGCAAAAUCCUUGACAAGAAUGACAUCAACACUUCUUGACACUCCUUGAAAAGUUGACCACCUGGAGGCAAUACAGUGGAUCAUGGGUAGGAAAACAAGCAGUAUUUAGAUCAGCUGGGGGCAAUUAAAGAUGAUCAAAUGAUGAAUCAAUGCACUAAGGACAAUAGUGUUUAAAGAAAGCUAAUCAGCAGGACAAACAUUCAGAUCAUUACUGGGGGCAAUGUUGUUCAAAGAUAGUCCAUGAUCUAGUGAACCCCGUCAACAAUCGGGAAAGCAAAGAUACACUUCAAGGAAAUCUUUUGAAACAUGGCUAUCGACCGAUGUGGGCAUACAGUUGCAUUCGAACGAAUAUGAAAAGAUGCACACCACCAAGAUUGAUUGCGGAACAAUGUUGUACUUGAAGGAUAAUGUCAUAUUAUCAUCUCCAACUUGGCUAUGACUUUUGAACGAUGUUAUCGCAUAGUUGUGAAUAUUGGAAGGAUGCACUCACCAAGACUGACUGUGGGACCAUAUGUUUUGGAGCUCAAUGCGCACUUCACCGUAUGAAUAUGGGUGAUAACAUGAACAUCAUUGAUGAUGUCGAGACAUUUCUUUUCACUAUCUGAUUUGACAAGCUGAGAGAAAUCCAUGAGAAAGAACAUUGAGCAUACAACGAUGAGUCUUUCACUGCAAGCUAUGAGAUGCAUGUCUGGACGAUUGGAUAAUUUCCAUGAAGACUGGUGAUAACAUUACUUGAAGAGUAUUGUUUCAGCUUGAGGCAAGUUUAUGACUGAUGGACAAUCAUGAUGGGUGUUGGCAUGAUGCACACAACCAAUCAGAGGAUAAUUCUUAGAAGAAUCCAGGAGAGAAAAUCCUUCACGAUGAAUCAAGCAACACCACACUUGGGGGCAGAGUCAAGCUUGAUAAACCACAAGAGCAGUAACCGUUGAAGACAGCCUAGAUUGGGCACUGCACUUACAACUGAGUGGAUGGCUAGCACAUGAAUGAGUCAGUACAUGGGAAGGACAAAUAAAGCUUUGGAAUGCAAACAAAGGCACCCUGUGAUGAUGGAACAUCGAAGAGAGGGGACCUAUAUUUCACAUCAGGUAAGGAUGCAUGCAUGUCAUCUAACCUCAAAGCAUUGCACAUACUUAUGAUUUGUUACAGAAAGAUCCUCAAUGAAGUCCAGCAAGAUUGUGGACAAAGAAAGAAUCAUUGAGUUGAUAACAGAGAAUCAUGGUUGUGACCUUGAAACGGGAAGAAGAUGAGAUAAACCUUACUGUUAGGAAAAUCUCAAAGAAAUGAAAAGAUCAACCUUGCAAUCAGGAAGCAUCGAGUUUUCAAACCCUGCGAUCAAGAAUUAUCAAGAAGCACCAAGUUUUCUGGCCCUUCUUCUAUCAUCCCUUCAGGACUUCGCCAGGUAAGUCCCAUUUCUCACACUUGUCACAUCACAUCUUUCAUUUGGGUAGGUCACCCAUAACAAUGAGACCACUUCAUAUUUUUUCUAUCCUCCACCUGGGUAGGUCACCCAUAACAAUGAGACCACUUCAUAUUUGUUCUAUCUUCCAUCUGGGUAGGUCACCCAUUAUAACGCGACCACUUCACAUUUUUUCUAUCUUCCAUCUGGGUAGGUCACCCAUAACAAUGAGACCACUUCACAUUUUUUCUAUCUUCCACCUGGGUAGGUCACCCAUAACAAUGAGACCACUUCACAUUUUUCUAUCUUCCAUCUGGGUAGGUCACCCAUUACAAUGAGACCACUUCAUAUUUUUUCUAUCCUCCACCUGGGUAGGUCACCCAUAAUAAUGAGACCACUUCAUAUUUGUUCUAUCUUCCAUCUGGGUAGGUCACCCAUUAUAACGCGACCACUUCACAUUUUUUCUAUCUUCCACCUGGGUAGGUCACCCAUUAUAACGCGACCACUUCACAUUUUUUCUAUCUUCCACCUGGGUAGGUCACCCAUUAUAAUGAGACCGCACUUCACAUUCUUUCCAUUUGGGUAGGUCACCCAUCAUAAUGAGACCGUUUUCCAUCAUUUUUUCUUGGGUUCGUCACCCAUACAAUGAGACCAUCAUUUUUUUUCUUGGGUUCGUCACCCAUACAAUGAGACCAUCAUUUUUUUUCUUGGGUUAGUCACCCAUACAAUGAGACCAUCAUUUUUCUGGGGUUCGUCACCCAUACAAUGAGACCACCAUUUUUCUGGGGUUCGUCACCCAUACAAUGAGACCACCAUUUUUCUGGGGUUCGUCACCCAUACAAUGAGACCAUCAUUUUUCUUGGGUUCGUCACCCAUACAAUGAGACCAUCAUUUUUCUUGGGUUUGUCACCCAUACAAUGAGACCAUUUGUUCCACAUUCUUUGUUUUGGUUUAAUGAGGUCGCCAGAUGAGAUCUCAUGUAGCUUUGGUUAAAGGGAAUCGCCAGAUGGGAUUUCAGGUUAACCGAGUUACGUCACAUUUUUUAGUUCCAGUUGAAUGAGGUUGCCAGAUGGAAUCUCAUGUAGCUUUGGUUAAAGGGAAUCGCCAGAUGGGAUUUCAGGUUGACCGAGCUACCACACAUUUUUUAGUUCCAGUUGAAUGAGGUUGCCAGAUGGAAUCUCAUGUAGCUUUGGUUAAAGGGAAUCGCCAGAUGGGAUUUCAGGUUGACCGAGCUACCACACAUUUUUUUAAGUUCAAGUUGAAUGAGGUCGCCAGAUGGGAUCUCAUGUAGCUUUGGUUAAAGGGAAUCGCCAGAUGGGAUUUCAGGUUGACCGAGCUACACACAUUCUUUGGUUUUGAAAAAGAAGAUCGCCAGAUGGGAUCUCAAGUUAACGAAAAAAAAGAAAAAGAAACAUUUAGAGUUUUUCUUUACAAAGCUUACUAUGCGAAACAUUGAGGAGUUUUGCUUCGUAAGCAUUGUAAAGAGGGGGCAUCUGUUGCUACCCAAUUUUUGACCCAUGUUUUGAUAAAUUUUUUAAAAAAUCCAAAAAUAGCGAAAAACAUUGAAAAUCCAAAAAAAUACAUUUUUAAUACAUUUGCAUCGUUUUUAGCAUUUUUAGCAUCAUCUUAAAAGAAUUUAAAUUUUCAACGACAUUUGGAACGCGUUCAACUUUUAACGCGUUAUUUUUAAAAUCAUUGAUUUUCUUCAUUGAGUCGACGUUGAUAUUGCUCGUUUUCAAAAAUACAAAAAAAUUAAGAAAAAUCAAAUUUUACAAAAAAGAAAGAAAGUUGAGGGACCAAUUUUGAGAUCCAUGCAACAUUUUACCUAUAAAUACUGGUUCACAACUCAAACAAAAGGGGGGGGGUAAUUUUGAAAUUUGAGGGGAGAGGCAACACAAAAACAGAAACCCUAAAAGCCUAAUUUUUUCUCCCCUCACGGGGGAGGCAGCCGCCAGCCCCCCACCGUUUGAUUUUUCUCUUCUCCCUCACCGAAAGAGAGAGCCGCCAGCCCCCCCUGGAUUAUUUUUCUCUUCUCCCUCAACCGGACAACCGAUCUUCCCCACCCUCACAAAUCAGCCUCACCGAAACCCACUGACCAGACGAUUUUCCUCCUCCCCUUGUCCUCUGCCAAACACAAACCAGGCCACACCCUUCUUCCCCUCACAGGAGCUAAACCUUCACCCAGCCAUACUCUCCCCUCAUCUCACCAGGGCUGUUCCUUCACAGCCGGUUUUCCCUCAGCCACUGUGAACGCCAUCUCCAGCCGCUCCCCCAUUUCAACAGAUCUUCCCUCUCAGCUGCUCCCUUCUCCAGCCGCCAGCUCGCCAGACCAAAAGGAGGGCAGAGCCGUUCCCCUUCGUUCUCCCCUCUCGUCGGCCGCCUCCUCAUCUUCCCCGAUCUCUUCAUCUCCAUCAACACCGAAGCUUCAUCCAGCAGCAGCCAACACACGGCAGCACCCACAGAGUCAACAGCCGUUCCCAUCUCCACCCGACAAACCCAGCAGACCCGAACCGGCCACCAGCUGCUGCACAGCCAUCGCCGCCCAAACGCCAGACCUGCCACCCAAAGCAGAGGAGAAGACGAAACCCACAACAAAUUGACCCGCCGUGUAGUCGAAGAAGGAGAAGGGAGAGAAGCCGAUCUGGACCAAAAAGAAAAAAUUAAAAUCAACUGCUGUUGUGCGUUGUUUCUCCUUGUUGCAGGUGACGGUGACCUUCACCGCCGACGUAGGGAGACAGAGAAGAAGAAGAGGUUCCCGAUCCACCGGUUUCUGCCACCUUCAUCGGCGGCGGCGCGUGGAACCACGCGCCGCCAGUGACGCCACUGUUCUGGCAGCUCCAGAAGUCGGCCUGACACUGUUCCGGGUUGUUUGGUUCAUUUUGUAAUUUUCAAAUUGUUUAAUGUAAUAUUUGUGUAAUUUUGAGUUUUUUUUUAUAAUUUGUACUUUGUGUAAAUGUGGAGGAAAAAGAAAAAAAGAAAAGAAAAGAAAAGAAAAGAAAAAAACAAAUAUUAAUAGAAAAAGAGUUGUGCGUGUUUUGUUUUUUUGUUAUGUAUAUUAUUGAAUAAAAAGAAAAAAAAUGAAUUUAAUUUAUAUGCACAAAUAUCUAAAGGACAGAUAAAAAUCAUGUUGUAUUUUCCAUAAAAAUGUAGAACAUGUAUCUACAUAUAUUUUGGGAACUAAUAACUGAUUUAUCAAAGCCUUAGAAUUGGGCUAAAAUUUUAUUUUUAAAACGCAUCAAGUCCACGAAGCAGCUUACCUCAGGUAGGGUGCGUUAGGGGUGCGAAUACCUUCCCUAACCACAACCAGUCCCUUACCCGCGAAUCUUUGACAAGACCAGUACAUCAGGUUUCCUAGUAGCCCUCAAUAAAUUACUAGGUGGCGACUCCAACGAACCAAUCAAAGCAAAAUGAACAAACGAAAAAUCGCCAGCAGAUGCCGCGCGGAUUUUGACGUGCGACAAAGGGUUGGAAAACCUUGGUCAAGAAUCGUCAAUAAUGAAGAAGGCGAGAUCGAAGGAGAAGACAAGGAAACGCAAGUGGGGAAGGAAGAUGAAGCAUUGCCUCGGUUGACUUUACAGAACGGGUUGACCCAAGAACUUCUCGUAGUUUUCAAAAUGUAAAACAACUUUAUUUGCCUUAGCAUGUUUUUGUCAUUUGCUUUUGUCAUUGCUUUUAUUUUCUCUGUUGGGCAAUCAGGGCUCAUGUUUUCAGCCAGAUUUUAUGUUUGUCUUUGAGCCUACCUUUUUUUUAAUAAAUGAUGAGAUUAUGCAUUUUUUUGAACAAGUUUGAGUGGUUAUAUCAUAAAAUGGUUUAAUAUAAAAUUUAAGAAAAGCUAACCCUAAAGUACAUCCCUACCUCUGAUAGCGUAAUGAAUGGAUAAAUGAUUAAGUGGUCACUUUAUAAUCAUCUGUAAUUGUCUUUAUCAACCAUAACAAUGUGCAUUUUGAAAAAAAAAAAAAAAUUCAUCAUUAUCCCUUCACGCACUAAAAAAGUUUAUCUUUGGCUGAAUGAAUUUCUUCUCUAUAAAAGCCCAGACUAGGAUCACACCCCUACACUGGGGGCAAAACGAGUUGUUUUUUGAAAAGUUUUACGUGUUUAAAAUUGGUUGGAAGCCCAUUAGAUUUGAAAACCAAGCUAAAACAUUUGACAAAAGCAUGACAAAGAGGCAAAUACAAGUCAUACAUUUUGAGAAAAGGACUACUUGAAAGACUUCUUCUCCAAGAAUAUGAUAGGCAACACGAGAGAUGAAUUCAGCAUACGACUUCAAAAGUAAAGCUCAUGUUAAGAGGGAGUCUCAUGAACUAGAAGAAGAGGAUGGGGCCUAUGUUUCAAAACCAGGUACGAAUGCAUGCAUUGCAUCUAAUCAUAAAUCAUUGCAUGUAUGUUUUUUGGAUCGUUACAGAAGGAGAUCUUAGCGCAUUCCAACAAGAUUAUGGACGAAGAAAGAAUCAUUGAGUUGAUUCUAGAACAUACAAGAAGAGAAGAUAAUGGUUUUCAAACCAUGCUAGCAGGAAGAACGACAUCGAUAGCAUUCGAUAAAAAGGAAUCGCCAAAUGGGAUUUCAAGUUGUUGAGAUCGCCAGAAGGGAUCUCGUAUUUCGAUGGAGGUCGCCAGAAGGGACCUUAAAUUUCGGCUUUUGUAUAAAAGGAAUCGCCAGAUGGGAUUCCAAGUUGUUUGGAUAAAGGAGAUCGCAAGAAGGGAUCUUGUAUUUCGAUGAAGGUCGCCAGAAGGAACUUCAUGUUUUAGCUUUGGUAAAAGGAAUUGCCCGAUGGGAUUCCAAGUUAUUUGAGAUCACCAGAAAGGAUCUCGUACUUCGACAUUCAUCAAGGAAGGUCGCUAGAAGGGACCUCGUAUUGAAACUAUUUCUUAGAAAAGCAUGGAGUUUACUAAGAAUUCUUCCCCUUGGGUAGGUCACCCAUACAAUGAGACCAUUAUUUUUCUUGGGUAGGUCACCCAUACAAUGAGACCAUCAUUUUUCUUGGGUUCGUCACCCAUACAAUGAGACCAUUAUUUUUCUUGGGUAGGUCACCCAUACAAUGAGACCAUCAUUUUUCUUGGGUUCGUCACCCAUACAAUGAGACCAUCAUUUUUCCUGGGUAGGUCACCCAUACAAUGAGACCAUUCUUCAUCUUUUUUUACCUGGGUAGGUCACCCAUAAUAAUGAGACCACUCUUUCCUUCUCCCAUUCGGGCGGGUCACCCAUCAUAAUGAGACCACAAACGUGUUUUUGUAUUUGGUUAUGGGUAAAGGAAUCGCCAGAUGAGAUUCCAAGUUUUUGGGGUUAAAGGAGAUCACCAGAAGGGAUCUCGAGAUGACUAAAUUUUGAUCAUAGUUUAUGGGAUUCCAAGUUGAGGAGGAUUGCUAUAAAAGACAAGUUUCAGAUCAAUCAAGCUUCAAACUAAUCAGUUUCGGGACUGUUUUGGGUUUAUCUUUAUAAAACUUACUGCGCAAAACCUCUGCUCCGUAAGCAUUAUAAAGAGGGGGCAUCUGUUGUAACCCAUUUUUGGGUCCCCACAAAAUAUAUACAAAAAUAUAUAGCCAAAGGAGUUUAGAAAAAUAAUAAGAGGUGGGAGCGCUCAGAAAGAAUCAGAAAAAAAUUCAUUGAGGAGAUUCAGAAAUACAAGGAGUGAAAUUUUACAGUAUAUAUUUGACUGAGGAGAGCCCUGUUGGAAGAGAAAAUUUAAUUUGAAGAGAAAAGGGCCAAAAUUGGAUGUUUAUGGACUCAAUUGGAUUUUAUUGAAGGUUUAUUUGAAUUUAUAGAGGUUUUGAUUGCAAGGAAAAUUGAGUUUUAAGUCAAUUUAGGCUUUAAUUGGAAGAAAUUAAAGUUCUGAGGUCAAAUUAUAAUUUUUGAGAGUUGAUUUGGUUAAAUCAAGGGCUUAAUUGCAUAAAUAUUGAAGUUUAAGGGCCAAUUAGGGAAUUAAUUGAAGAAAUUCAAAACCAAGGACCACAUUGGAAAAGGCGUGCAAGUAUAGGGGCUGCAAUUAACAAAAUCCGGGGGCCAAAUUGAAGAAAUUGAAAGUUUAAUGGUCAAGUAGGGAUGAGAUUGAACGAAACUGAAAGUCGGAGGACUAAAUUGAGAAUUGGCAAAGAAAUCCCUAUUUUUAUCAAAAACGGCGCCGUUUUGCAUUUUUUUUAAAAAAAAAAAAGAACCAGUUACUGUUCAUUUUCUUCCCCACCAAGCUGCCCGAGUGGCCGACUUCCAGGCGUGUUUUCUGCCUCGUUUGGCCCCCAAAUCCGACAAAAAAUGCGCCAACAUCUCCACCUGAAACCCCUUUAUCCCGGAGAAUGGUCCGGUCGGGUCGAAAAAUUUAGAAACGGCUCCGUUGAGUGGCUCUAAGUGGCCACCUCGGGCAGUUCACAGCCUUGAGCUGCCAAAUUUGGCAGCUCGAGGUGCACACUUUGAACCAACGGUUUGGAUUCCUCGAGUCGAAUCAAGGGCUGAGAAUUUUUCCCCAUUGAAGACAAGAUUACCCUCUUUCCAGCCCUAGGAGAAAUUUUCAUGCUGAAACGGUUGGCAGGAGGGAGCUCAAAAUUGGGAUAAAAUCAGCUUUUCCUGCUCGGUUUUCCUGCAACCAGCCUUCUCUUUCUUUUUUUUCUCUCCGCCGUGGCUUCCAGCCGCCACCACUGAUCUCUCCACUGUCCUUACCACAAAACACCACAUCCCAUCCAUCACCCAGCAGCCUCACCACAGGCCACAGUACCCCUCUUUUCCUCCCUCUCCUCUCUACAAAAAUCUCCUCCUCUGCCAUCGUGAUUCAGACAGCCUCCACACCGACAGCAGAGGUAGCAACCAUCUUGCCCAAAAGCUCUCUUCCACUCCUACCAGCAGCAACCGGAGUAACAGCUCCUUCCUCAGUCACACCAACAGAUCCAGCCGAGAGCUUUCCUUCUCCUCUGCAGGAAUCUGCUCCUGCUUCUUUCAGCCGGGACUAGUGCACGCCUGUCGCCACCCAGCGCCACCGUGAGCCAUAGCCGGAGACAGCAGCCACGAUCACUCAUUCCAGGUACCUCUCCUCUCCCUUUUUUCUGUCCCCUCUUCCCUGUUGUUUUCCUCGGCAUGCAGAACGUGAAUUCACGUUCUGCAGCAAUGGAAAUAUAAUUAGCUGGUUACUGUGCGCUGCACAGUAACCAGCUAAUUAUAAGCACCUGGUUAAUAUGCGCGGUUACUGUACAGGUCAUUAUAUAUUAUGUAUAUUAUAUUGUGUUUUGUUUAUUUAUAUAUAGAUAUAUAUAUAUAAAAAAAUUUAAUUAAUUUCUUCGAAAAAUUAUUUCAAAAAAUAUGUGAUUUUAUGUAAUUUUUAUUACUGUAUUUUGAUCAAUAUCGGUUUGUAUUUUUAUACUGUAAAGAUACAAAUCCGGUAUUAAAAUACCCGGUUUUCGUCAAGACAUAAAAAAAAAAUGUUUUGUUUUCAUGCAUACGGCCUAGUCUCUCCAACAUAUAUAUAUAAAUAUUAUAACAUCAUAUUUUUCACACAACAAAGAAAAUUUCAAAACAAUAUAUGUAUUAGCAUGCAUUUUGGCUUUAAUAACCAGUUUAUUCAAGCCAUGAGAACUAGGCCAAUAUUUCAAAAAUUCUAAAAAAAUAUUUUUGUCCUCUUUUAGUAUAUGGGAUUACGAAUUUAUACGUAAAACGUAUUCCUGAUGUUAAAAAUAUGAUUUUACAUAGACGUUAGAACGGUUAGGUUUUACCCGAUAAGAUAAGAACCUCCUUAUUGAGGAGGACUUUUCUUGAACCAUAGACGGACCAACAACUAGGAAACAUAACGAGAACUUGAAUUUUAUCAGACAAAUAAACAAUGCAGCUUACCUUAGGUAGGGCGUAUUUGGGGUGCUAAUACCUUCCCUUUACGCAACCAGUCCCCGUACCCAAUCUCUGAGACCAGUUAGGGUUCCUAGUGACCAAAAUACUAGGUGGCGACUCCCAUUCCAUUUUCUUCCAACAAAAGACAAUAUUUUCUUGUCUCCCCACAUUUGCCAGAUAAAUAUCAUACACACUUCCUAGUUUUAAAAGUGGAAUACUCGUCGCGACGCCGCGCACCCGCGACAAUAGUAAAUAUUUUAAUAGCCUUGAGUCAAGUAGCAUGCUAGACCCAAGGUGUUUAGGUCUGGCGUAGUUGUCAAACCCAAGUCUCUUGGGUCUGGAGUGGUUGUCAGACCCAAGUAGCUUGGGUUAGGCAUGGUAGCCAGACCCAAGGCGCUUGGGUCUGACAAUAACACCAGACGCAAGCUACUUUUUUUUUAUCUUUUCUGAGGCUAAAAGUGUUAUUUUAUUAUAUAUGAAAAUUGUAAAAACUUGAAAUACCCUUUUUUGGGAGCAUAUCCUUUUUUAUUAUUAUUUUGGGGACAAAUAAGUAUUUUUAUUGUUAUGAAUAUUGUGAAAAACCAAGAAAGUCCUUGGUCAACAGUUCUAAUUUUUGUUGACUUUAGGGGUAAAAGAGUACUUUAAUUGUGUCUCAAGCACCUUGGGUCUGACAGUCUUGCCAGACCUGCGCACAAUAAACUAGUGGGAUAAUUAUGCACUUUAGUUGUCAGGAGAGAGAAAAUAAAGAAAGAACGCAAACAAUCAAUCACCAAGGGGCAAUCCAAUCAUUAUCUGGCUACGCGCGCUAUACCAUUUGCAAGAGGGCACGACUAUGCUUCUAAUUAGAUGGUGGUUGGCCAGAUUUGACCACUGAGAAGCAUCAUACGCGUCUCCUUAAUGGCAUGGGCACUGCCCAUUUGCUAGGGCAUGAGGAACACUAGCCCGCAACUUUUUGAUUAAAAAAUAACAAGUACAUCGUGACAAUACUAUAAAAUGCGUCGUUUCAUUUAUAUAUGAUAUGGCGCCAACACGUCAACUUCCAAAUCAAUCCCCAAUUUAUCCUUUGUCCGCUCAAGUCCUCAAAUGCAAUUUUGAUUUUAAGAAUCAAUUCAAUUACAUCCCUGCCAACUUCAAUCGCCGGCCCUAUAGUUGGUCGUCUUUCCCACUUUCGUCCUUGGUUUCUGAUUUAUGCAAUUUGACUCUCAAUUGAUCAAUAAACUUUUAAUUCUUCAAUUUGGCCCCUGAUUUGGUUAAUUACAGCCCCUCUAUUUACGCGUCUUUUCUAGUUUGGUCCUUGGUUUUGGAUUUCUUCAAUUAGGUCCCUAAUUGGCCAUCAAACUUCAAUAUUUAUGCAAUUAAGCCCCUGAUUUGACCAAAUUAACUCUCAAAAAUUAUAAUUUGACCCCAUAACUUUAAUUUAUUCCAAUUAAAGCCCAAAUUGACUUAAAAAUUAAUUUUUCUUGCAAUUAAACCCUCUAUAAAUUCAAUUAAACUUUCAAUAAAUCCAAUUGAGUCUAUAAACAUCCAAUUUUGGACUUUUCUCCCCAAAUUGAAUUUUCUUUUCCAACAAGGCUCUCAUCAUUCAAGUAUAUACUGUCAAAAUUUCAAUCCUUGUAUUUUUGAACCUCCUUAAUCAAUUUUUCUGACCAUUUUCUGAGCACUCCAACCUCCUACUGUUAUUUCCAAUUUCUUCCGACCAUAUAUUUAUAUUUAUUUUUAUUAUUAUAUUUUUAUUUUUAUUUUUUGUAUGGGGACCCAAAAAUGGGUUACAACACAAACAAUCGAUCACCAGCGAUAAUCCAACCAUUAUCUAGCUACACGUGCCACACUAUGUGAAAGAGGGCACGACUACGCUUCCAAUUAGAUGGCGAUUGAUCAUAUUUGGCUACUAGGAAGAGUCCUAUGCACCUCCUUAGUGGCACGGGCACUGCGCGCUCGUUAGGGCGUGAGGAAUACUGGCCCGCAGCUUUUCAAUUAAAAAUAAUAAAUACAUCAGAUCGUGAACAUACUAAAACGCCCUCAUGGUCCUUUUAAUUACACAAACAUCCAUAUAAAAAUACCAAAAUAUCCCCGAAUGUAAAGUUUUUUUUUUUUGAAGCUAAAAGCAUUAUAUGACUGUACUUGGAAAUUGAAAAAAUCCGAAUACCCUUGUAAUAGAAAGUCAAAGAAACAUCUCGUGAAAAUAUGAGAAAUUAAAAGUAAAACGACUAUUAUAAUCUACAGUAAAAAAUCUUUUAAUCUAUAGUGAUUUCCUCACACCAUUUAGUUUUUGUUAUAAUUGAGUUGUUCUCGUGAAAAUAUUGGAAUUUAUAAAUAAUUUUUAUACAAGGUGUCUUAUAUCUAUGUAAGAAUGAGAAGUAUAAUUUAGGAUUAUCUAAGUGGUAUGGUUGAGGGUAAGUAUGUACGAAGUAAUCACAUCUAACACUAUCUUCUUUAACCAUGUUGAGCGCGACAUGACAUGAAUGGAAGAUGGUUACGUGAAUAUGCUUUUAGGGGCUGUUUAUUUUUAUUUUAUUUUAAAAAAAAGCCAUGUUUUGUGAUUUUUUUUAAAAAAAAUAUUGUUUAAAAUUAAGUUUUUUAUAUUUUUAAAUAUGUCAAUAUCAAAAUUAAUUUUUAAAAAAUAAAAUAAAAAUAUUAUUUUCAUAUAUUUCUGAAUGAAAAGUAUUUUUAAAAAUAAUUGUUAUAUAUAACACUUAUAAACACUAUCUUAAUAUAUAAAUGACCCAGCAAGCUGAGAUUAUAUUAUGACUUGGGGUAAUCCUCAUAGUGUGGCUUGGUGAACAUGUAGGGUUUGGACAAUGCUUUCACCAUAGUGUGGCUUGACAUAAACUUAGGAAGAGUACACGAAGAUGCCUUUCGUCUAUAAAGGACCCAGCAAGUUGGAGUAUGGAGUAUAUAUUGAUUAUUCUUUUGUAUUGACUUGGAGUCAACGUGCAUGGAAGCAAGUUGAGUAUAAAAGGAUCCAGAGAGGCGAUAUUUAUGGAGUAACGUCGCCUACAAGUCUACAAUGGUGUACUAAGGAGGCUAAAAUUAACGGUGCUGGUAAUAUUAAGUACAAAACUAAAAUGUGUGAGUUUUUUUUACCGUGUAUUCAUAUAUUAUUAUGGAUUAAAUGUGUAAACUCUUGAGGUUUUUUCUUUUAAAUUAAUGAAAAAACAUAUAUGAAUUGGAUUGAUUUUUUAUUUUAGGUUGAUUUUAGUUUUUAGAACAGUUUUUUAAAGUCAAUGAUAGAUUUAUCAUGGUUCCUAAGAUAUUUUGAAGGUAUUUUAAGUAAACAAUUUGAAAAUGAGUUUUUAGAUAAAAAAAGUUAAGCCCUGAUUUUCCAGCCAUUGUGGUGACCGGAAUAUAAGCAAAUCAAACACCUUGUCCUCUAUUUUUUUUUCAAAAAAAAAUUAGGACGGAAGACAUGCUACAAAAAAAAUAAGAGCUCAAUCACGGGGGGUCUGCCACUGCAGGCUCACAUGGGGAACCUAACAAAAUGGGUGAGCCUGGCUUUUUUUUUUGUAAAUUUUUUUUUAAUUUGUUUUGUUUUUUUCUCUAUUUUUUUUCAUUUUUCAGAUUAUAUUUAUAAUAUGUGCAACCGCGCAUGGUGUUUUUUUCCUCUUUUAUUUUAUUCAAUCAAUUUAAUUUAUAUCUUUAUUUUUAUUAUCAUUUUUUUUAAUAAAAAAAAUAUCUUAAUAAAUAAAUUUAGCAAAUACAAUUAAAUAAUUUUUUUAUAUUUUAAAAUUAAAUAUGUUGAUGUGCAUCGAAAUCUUAAUUUUCAAAGCUUUAUACUUUUCGAAGCUUUAUACCUUAGAAAAUGAUACCUCAAUUUUGUACUUAUGAACUAUGUUUUGCUUGGAAACCUCUGAAGGUGGAGCCUGUCACCGUGAGUCAACAGCUAGUCUUCAGCUUUAUAUAUUAAUGCAUAUUAUUAAUUAAAGCAUAUUAUUAUCUUCCAUCAUAUGCGUGGAUAGAAUGCACUCUUACUUUUCAAAGGUGGCUUAGUCAAUAAUGCGAAGUAUUUGAUACGUUCGUUAAUUAUCUUGGGCACGGGAGGACUUAAUUUCAAGAAUAUAUAGUUCCCUUCGAAUGCUGCUAAAAAUCAUGGUGGCUAUAAACAAGAGCGCGGUGGAUAGGAGGAGAGCAUAACCAUUUUAGUUAGUCACAUAUAUUUCCAAGAUGAAGGCCUUUCUUAUCGCAUGCUUUCUCUUAGCUACCAUCGUCUUCUCUCCCCUAUCCACUUGCACUGCUCGAGAAUUGGCCGAGCGAGGUGAGAUUUUAUUUCCAUCAUUAACUUCAGAAAACCAGUUCAUUUUGUGCGUGUGUGCGUGUAGUCUCUUUGUGUAUUGCAAACAAUUUUUUGUUAUAAAACUGAUGAGUCAACCUUUACUUCUACUUCCGGCAUUAAUUAACUGGAGAUAAUCAUUAAUUUCAUGUUUUGUAUGCAUAUAUUAUUUAAUUAUUCUGUCGUGGCCUAUCUUAUAUAUAAAAAGAUGAUUCUGCUAUAAUAUCAGAUUAUGUCAACAUGAAUCUUGCAGACGUAUCCCGGGGAGCUCUCAACCCCCAUAAACCAGUGUACGGUUGCGGAAGGGGUAAUCGAUAUUGCGUACCUAAAACACCAAGAGGUUGCCCAAAUCCUUACAAGCGUAAUUGUGGGCGCCAUUAAGAUUAGAAGAAAGCAAAGUUGAGUACUGCUUAAAAGUAUGGAGAGCUAUACUACUAUCUUUAUCAAUAUGUAAAAUGAUCAGAACUAUUUAUGUGAGAAAAAUAAGCAAAGUUCUCCAGUGGAUUAGAAGAAGCAAGCAAAGUUGUCUGCUUAAAAAGUAUGGACGGCUCAUCGUGUCUCUAUCAAUAUGUAAAAUGUUAUUUUGAUAUGGGAACUAUUUACGUGAGAAAAAUAAAUAGAGUUCUUAGUGAGUUUCAUGGUUUCUUUUGAGGUUUUAAUUUCGGUCACUAUGCAGUCCUGAUCUUUUGAGGUUUUAUUAAUGAAGGAAUCCAAAAUAAUAAUAAUAAUAAUAAUAGGAGUGAGAAAAUGGUGCUGGAUUACCCAUAAAAUACCUAGAAAUUGGUUGAGGAGGUUCAAAAAUACAAUAAUUAAAAUUUGACAGUAUAUUUUUAACUUGUGAGAGUCAUGUGACAAGAAAAAUUCAAUUGAGGAAGAAAAGUUCAAAAUCAGAUGUUUAUGGACUCAAUUAAAUUUUAUCUAAGGUUUAAUUGAAUUUAUGGAGGGUUUGAUUGCAAGAAAAAUUGAUUUUUAAAGUAAAUUUACGCUUUUAUUGGAAAAAAAGUUAAAGUUCUGGGGUCCAAUUAUAAUUUUGAAGAGUUGAUUUGGUCAAAUUAGGGGCUUAAUUACAUAAUUAUUGAAGUUUGAUGGCUAAUUAGGAACUUAAUUGAAACAAUCCGAAACCAAGGACCAAACCAGAAAAGGCGAUAACAUUAAGGGACCCAAUUACAAUGUUUCCGGGGUUUGAUUACACAAUUGCGAAACUUUCAAGGACCAAAUCAGAAGACUCCAAACGGCGCCGUUUCCUUUGAAGCACUAUUCACUGUCUUCUCAAACAUGGCAGCUGUGGCGUUAAAGGCAGGAGACGUUAGCAGCGAUAAUGGAGCCGCUUCAAUCAGGGGGCAUGUCUCACGCCACCAUGUACGGAAGCCUUUACUUUGUUGCCAGAAAACUUCUGCAUCCUCUGGCUAUAAAAGCCAGAGGAAGGAUCGAGCAAAGGGGAGAAAAAAAGGGAGGAGAAAGCAAGGAGACAGCAGAAAAAAAAAACAGGGUGGGAAAAAAGGAAAGAGAAAAGAACAGAGGGGAAAGGAGACGAGGAGGACGCAGACACACCAGAAAAAAAGAACAGGGAGAAUAAAGAAAGGAAACAGAGGGAUGCGCACUGGGUAGCACAGGGAGAAGGAAGCAGGGGAGAGGGACUGUUGAACCUCUUUCAAAACCGCAGGAUCCGUGAUCAAGCUCAGACGAAUUGGAAAAAAAACACGAAUACCAGUAGCAAGGAAAAACAGACGAAGAGGAAGAACCAGAGGAAAAGCAAACGAAACAGGGAAGAUAUAAAUCCAAAACAUGUUGCUGUCUUCGUCUUGCUUCCAGGUAACUCCAGCUUGGCAAAAUAAUGCACAAAAUACUGUGCACUUGGAAUUUAAUUACAUGGUGGCUGCAGCAAGCGUGCGUGACUUAUUCACGCACGCUGGCGGGUAGAAUCCAGCCGGGUCACUGGUUUGGGCCAAUGACCCGGCUAAGCCUGCUGGGUCCAGCCCAGCCACAUGGGCCGAGCUAGACCCAGCCCAAAAAAAUCCAAAAAUCUCUUCAAAAAAUUUAUGAUUUUCUCGUAUAUUUUUUACUGCAUUUUGAUCAAUAUUGGUUUGUAUUUUUAUAAUGUAAAGAUACAAAUCCGGUAUUAAAAUACUUGGUUUUCGUCAAAACACAAAAAAGUAAAAAAUAAAUAAAUAAUAUUUUGUUUUCAUGCAUACGGCCAAGUAUCUCAAAGAAAAAAAAAUCAUAUUUUCAUACAACAAAAAUUCAAAAAAUAGGUAUUAGUAUGCAUUUUGGCUUUAAUAACCAGUUUAUUAAAGUUACGAGAACUAGGCCAAAAUUUCAAAAAUUCAAAAAAAUUAUUUUGUUUUCUUUUAAUAUCUAGGGUUACGACCUUAUACGUAAGACGUAUUCCGGAUAUUAAAUUCUUUUGUUGAUGUUAGAAUGGUUAAGUUUCACCCGAUAAGAUAAGGAUCUCCUUAUCAAGGAGAACUUUUCUUAAAUCAUAGACGGACCAACAACUAGAAAACACGACAAGACCUUAGAUUUUAUCAGACAAUAAAACAAUGCAGUUUACCUUAGGUAGGGCGUAUUUGGGGUGCUAAUACCUUCCCUUUACGCAACCAGUCCCCGCACCCGAUCUCUGAGACCAAUUAGGAUUCCUAGUGACCAAAAUACUAGGUGGUGAGUCCCAUUCCAAUUUUUCCACUAAUAAAAGACAAGAAUUUCUUGUCUCCCCAUAUUUUCCAUAUUUUUAGAUAAUACAAAAUUUUGAGGGUGGAUGUUUUCGCCGCACACGUGCGACAAUUAAAGUGCCAAAGGAUACCAAUCGUCCCACCACUACCAGAAAAUUGAUAAAUACAAACAGAAAUACCGAGGAAAUAUUUUUGUCGGUGAAUUGCCGACGGAUUUUACCGAUGGAAAUAUUCCCUCGAAAUUUACCGAGGGAAUUACAAUGGGAAAAAUAAUUAAAACAAAGCAAAAAAAUGAUGACGUGCCAUUUUUACCAACGAAAUUACCGACGAAAUAAAAUCAUUGGUAAACUGUCAACACUAUUCAUCAUGUUAAUUACGAAUGGAAUCACAGAGGGAGCAUUUCGUCGGUAUUUUACAGAGAGCUUUAGAACUAUUCACUUCCCAAUUGCACUGUUAAUUACUGUUCUUUACAGAAAAAAUCACUGACGGAUUGAAAAGUCGUCGAUGUUAUUUGGUGGUUUUCUGAAAAAUUUAAAUUAAAUAUUACAAACGGAAUCACUGACGGAAUGAAAAGUUAUCGGUGAUAUUUGACGGUUUCUAAAAUGUUUUUAUUAAAUUCAAAAUUUAAAUUAAAUAUUAUAGACAGAAUCACCGACGGAAUGAUUAAAAAUAUUAAUAUUUAAUUAUCCAUAAGUAAAAUUAUCGGUAAACGCCCCAAUAAAAAGCCUAGAAUCUCUACAGACCCGUCUUCUUUCUUCUUCUUCUUCUUCUUUUUUUCUUCUCUCUCCUCAACUCCUUCUCUUCUCCUCCAUACUCAGGUAUGUCUUCUUCUUCUUCUUUUCUUCUGUUCUCUCCUCAACUCCUUCUCUUCUCCUCCAUACUCAAGUAUGUUUUCUUCUCCUUUCUUAUUUUUUCUUCUCAGUUUUUUUUAAUUAGUAUAGUUUACGAAUUUUUUUUUCUCUUCUUAGCUUCACUUGCAACUACAUUAAGGUAAAAAAAACAUUUCUUCUUUUUUCGUGUUUUUUUCACUAUAUUUGUUUUUUAUUUUAUUUGUAAUUGCUUUUUUCUUAAUAAUUGUAUGAAUUUUGUUGUAGGAUUCAUUUUUUCAUAUAAGAUCAAUUUUUAGUUGAUUUCUUUAUAGGAUUUUUAAACUUUUUUCAUAUGAAUUUUUUUAGUUGAAUUUAUUUUUUCACGUUAUUUAUUUGUUGCAAAUUUUUUUGAUUUGAUUUUCUUCCUUUUUCCAAGAAUUUUGAGUAUUAUAGACUGUUGAUUAAUAAUUAUUUUAUAUUUUUGUAAUAUAUAAUUUAUAUAUUUUUAAAUAAUUACCGAUGGAAUUACAUACGGUUUGUUUCCGAGGAAAUUACCGACGGAAUGAAAUAGUUUUUUUUUGCUUGCUUUUUUCGUUAGUAAAUCCAUCUGUAAUAAUAUUUUUUUAUUACCAACGGACUUACCGACGGACAAAAAAUUAUCAACGAAAGAUUAACCGAUGGAGACUUUCCGUCGGUGAUUUUGUCGGUGAGUUUUUUACCAAUGAAAUGGUAGUGCAAAUACUGACAGAAAAUUUCGUCGGUAAAUCUAAAGAUUUUGGUAGUGCACCUUAGAUGAGUGGUCUUACCAGUUGAAACGGUUUGAUGAAUUUGCUUCCAUACAAAUGUUAUAAGCUUGAGUAAUUUUCAUCGGUGUCAAGAACAACUAUUAGGUACUUUAUGGCUCCAAAAGCAAGUAAUUAUAUAAUCUUUAAGCCGCUUUUGGAUCAGUAGUUACUAGUAGAUUAUAUAAUCUUUAAGCUGCUUUUGGAUCAGUAGUUAGUAGUAUAUUGUCUCGCACUAUGAAUUAAUAUCAAAUUUAAAAAAAAUGUAAAAGAAAUAUUAAGAGUAUAGAUAAUGUUUUAAUAGCCUUGGAUCAAGUAGUCAUGUCAGAUUCAAGGCUCUUAGGUCUGAAAUGGCUCUUAGGUCUGAAAUGGUUGUCAAACCCAAGUAGCUUAGGUCUGGUGUGGUAGCUAGAUGCAAGGCGUUUGGGUCUGGCAAAAACGCUACACGCAAACUUAUUUUUCAUUUUUUUAUGCUAAAAACAUUAUUUUACUGUAUAUGAAAAUUGUAAAAACCUGAAAUGCCCUUUUUCGGCAGCCUAUCUUUUAUAUAUAUAUAUAUUUGAGGCAAAGAAGUAUUAUUACUAAUACGAAUAUUGUGAAAAGCCAAGAAAGUCAUUGGUUAACAAUUCUAAUUUUUAUUAACUCUAGGGGUUAAAGAGUACUUUAACUAUGUCCUAGGUGCCUUGGGUCUAGCAGCCUUGCUAGAUUGGCAUCUAGAUCUGCAACCAUGCCAGAUCGUGUUGGGGUCUGCCACACCCACGCAUGGGUCUGACAACCAUACUAGAUCCACGCACAACAAACAAAGUGGAUAAUUGUGUACUUUAGUUUUUAGGAGAGAAAAAAAAUAGAAGAAAAAACACAAACAAUCGAUCAUCAGCGGCAAUCCAACCAUUAUCUAGCUACACGCGCCAUACUAUGUGGAAGAGGGCACAACUAUAAACUUCCAAUUAGAUGGUCGUUAGCCAUAUUUGGCUACUAGAAAGUGUCAUAUAUGCCUCCUUAAUGGCGUGAGGAACACUGACCCACAGCUUUUCAAUUAAAAUAAUAAAUAUAUCAUGAAAAUACUAAAACGCCCCCAUGGUCCUCUUAAUUACACAAAUAUCCGUAUAAAAAUACCAAAAUACCCCCAAAUGCAAAGUUUUUUAUUUUAUUUUUUCUGAGGCUAAAAGCGUUAUAUGACUGUACUUGGAAAUUGAAAAAAUCCAAAUACCAUUGUAAUAGAAAAUCAAAGAAACAUCUCGUGAAAAUAUAAGAAAUUAAAAGUGAAACUACUGUUAUAAUCUACAAUAAAAAAUCUCUUAAUAUAUAGUGAUUUUCCGACAUCAUUUAGUUUUUGUUAUAAUUGAGCUGUUUUCGUGAAAAUAUUGGAAUUUAUAAAUAAUUUUUAUACAAGGUGUCUUAUAUCUAUGUAAGAAUGAGAAGUAUAAUUUAGGAUUAUCUGAGUGGUAUGGUUAUGUACUAAGUAAUCACAUCUAACAGACUUUCUUCUUUAACCAUGUUGAGCGCGAUAUGACAUGAACAGAGGAUGGUUACAUGAAUAUGCCUUUACGGGCCGUUUAUUUUAUUUUUAAUUUUAAAAAAAACUGUGUUUUAUGAUUUUUUUUAAAAAAAAUUAUUGCUUGAAAUUAAUUUUUUUAUGUUUUUAGAUCUGUUAAUAUUAAAAUUAAUUUUUAAAAAAUAAAAUAAAAAUAUUAUUUUUAUAUAUUUCUGAACGAAAAAUAUUUUUAAAAACAAUCGCUCUCACAUUUAUAAACAAUAUUUUAAUAUAUAAAAGACCUAGCAAGUUGGAUUAUAUUUUGACUUGGGGUAAUCCUCACAGUGUGGCUUGGUUAACCUAUAGGGUUUGGACAAUGCUUUCACUCAUUGUUAUUAAACCCGGCCCGGCGGGUCGACCAGGGACCCAGUCGACCUGGUAGCUGGACCGGUCCGGGUUUAAUAAAAGACUGGCUGGGGUAAUAGUCAGGCCAAACCCGGGUGACCCGGCGGGUCGAUCCAUGACCCGAGCGACCCGGGCGAACCCGGACGAGACCGGGUGUUUUUUUUUUUUCAAAUGUGAGAUUUCAAACCCAUUAGUAUAUAUACUUUAUGUUUCCAAGAAAAAAGUCAUGUUUUUUCAAUGUGGGAUAAAAAAACCUUUUGGUUUAAAUACUUCAACUUAAAAGAAUAACAUGGUAUCUUUUUAAUAUGGAAUUUGAAGCCCUUUCGUAUAUAUACUCUAUGUUCUCAUGAAAAAAGUUAUGUUUUUUCAAUGUGGAAUUUGAAACCCCUUAGUAUAUAUACUCUAUGUUCCCAAGAAAAAAAAUCAUGUUUUUUCAAUGUGAGAUAAAAAAACCUUUUGGUUUAAAUAUUUCAACUUAAAAGGAUAACAUAAUAUCUUUUCAAUGUGGAAUUUGAAGUCAUUUCGUAUAUAUACUCUAUGUUCUCAUAAAAGAAGUUAUGUUUUUUCAAUUUGAGAUUUGAAACCUAUUAGUAUAUAUACUCUAUGUUCCCAAGAAAAACGUUAUGUUUUUUCAAUGUGGGAUAAAAAAAAAUUUGGUUUAAAUACUUCAACUUAAAAGCUUAACAUAAUAUCUUUUUAAUGUGGGAUAAAAAACUUUUUAAAAUAUUAUUUUAAACUUCAUUGUUUACAAUAUGUGUAACCUAUAUUUACAUGGAUUUUUUUCAUAUGAAAUAUUAAAAUUUUAAUUUUUCCAGGUUGAUCCGGGUUAACCCGAGUUGACCCAUAAAACCUGAAACCCGGCCCUUUAACCGGCAACCCCAAGCUGAGUUUAAUAACUAUGCUUUCACCUUGGCAUCAACUCAGGAAGAGUAGACGAAGAUGCCUUUCGUCUAUAUUUGACUCGGAGUAUAGAUAAUUCUUUUGUAUUGACUUGGAGUCAACGUGCAUGGAAGCAAGUUGAGUAUUUAAGGAUCCAGAGAGGCGAUAUUUAUGUAGUAACGUCGCCUAGAAGUCUACAAUGGUGUACUAAGGAGGCUAAAAUUAACGUUGCUGGUAAUAUUAAGUAUAAACUAAAAUGUGUGAGUUUUUUUUACCGUGUAUUCAUAUAUUAUUAUGGAUUAAAUGUCUAAAAUCUUUAGUUUUUUUUUUCAAUUUGGUUUUUAAUUUAUUUAUUUUUGAUGAUUUAGUCCUAAUUGUGUAAAAUCUUUUUUAUUAGGUGGUUUUUUACCUUUAUACUUCAUGAAAAAAUAUAUAUAUAUAUAUAAACUCGGAUUGAUUUUUUGUUUUUGGUUGAUUUUGGUUUUUGAGACAGUUUUUUGAAGUCAAUGAUAGAUUUAUCACGGUUCCUAAAAUAUUUUAUAGGUAUUUUAAGUAAACAAUUUAAAAAUGGGUUUUUAAGUCAAAAAAGUUAAGCCCUGAUUUUUCAGCCAUUGUGGUGGCUGGAAUAUAAACAAAUCAAACAACUUGUUCUCUGAUUUUUUUUUCAAAAAAAAGUAGGACAAUGGACAUGCUACAAAAGAAAUAAGAGUCCAAUCACGGGGGCUUGCCAGUGCAGGCUCACUUAGGGAACCUAACAAAAUGGGCAAGGCGUCCGAACCCAACAAAGCUUGGCCUUUGUUUUUUUCUUGUAAAUUAUUAUUUCUUAAUUUUUUUAAAUGAAUGAUUUGUUUUGUUUUUUUCUCUAAUUUUUUUAUUUUUCAGAUUAUAUUUAUAACAUGUGUAACCGCGCAUCGUGUUUUUUUCCCCUUUUAUUCUAUUCAAUAAAUUUAAUUUGUGUUUCCAUUUUUAUUAUUAUUUUCUUUAAUAAAAAAUUAUCUUAAUAAAUAAAUUUAGCAAAUACAAUAAGAUAAAUUUCUUAUAUUUAAAGAUUAAAUAUCUUGAUGUAAACCUAAAUCUUAAUUUUCAAAGCUUUAUAAUUUUCGAAGCUUUAUACCUUAGAAAAUGAUACCUCAAUUUUGUACUUGCUAAAGCUUAAUUUUGACUCAAUUUAUAAAUAUCUUGACUCAAUUUUGUCACCGUGAGUCAACAGCUAGUCUUCAGCUUUAUUAAAGCAUAUAUACUAUUAUCUUCCAUCAUAUGUGGAUAGAAUGCACUCUUACUUUUCAAAGUUGGCUUAUUCAAUAGUGCGAAGUAUUUGAUACGUUCAUUAAUUAUCUUGGGCACGUGUGGAUAGAAUGCACUCUUACUUUUCAAAAAAAUAGUAUUUUGUGAUUUUUUGAAAAGAAUAUUGCUUGAAAUUAAUAUUUUUUAUUUUUAGAUUGUUGUGAUGUGUUAAUAUGAAAAAUAAUUUUUAAAAAUUUAAAAUAAAAAUAUUUUAUAUAUAUAUAUCUAAAUAAAAAAAUAUUUUUAAAAAUAAUAUGUAUAAUCUUAAUAUAUAAAAAGGACCCAUAAAAACACUAUCUUAAUAUAUAAAAAGGACCCAGCAAGCUGACAUAAACUUAGGAAGAGUAGACGAAGAUGCCUUUCGUCUAUAUUUGACUCGGAGUAUAGAUAAUUCUUUUGUAUUGACUUGGAGUCAACGUGCAUGGAAGCAAGUUGAGUAUUUAAGGAUCCAGAGAGGCGAUAUUUAUGUAGUAACGUCGCCUAGAAGUCUACAAUGGUGUACUAAGGAGGCUAAAAUUAACGUUGCUGGUAAUAUUAAGUAUAAACUAAAAUGUGUGAGUUUUUUUUACCGUGUAUUCAUAUAUUAUUAUGGAUUAAAUGUGUAAAAUCUUUAGUUUUUUUUUUCAAUUUGGUUUUUAAUUUUUUUUUGAUGAUUUAGUCCUGAUUGUGUAAAAUCUUCUCAAUUAGGUGUUUUUUUACCUUUAAAGUUCAUAAAAAACAUAUAUAAACUCGGAUUGAUUUUUAGUUUUGGGUUGAUUUUGGUUUUUAGAACGAUUUUUUGAGCUCAAUGAUAGAUUUAUCAUGGUUUAUAAGAUGUUUUGUAGGUAUUUUAAGUAAACAAUUGGUUGAAAAUGGGUUUUUGGGUCAAAAAAGUUAACCUGAUUUUCCAGCCAUUAUGGUGGCCGGAAUCUAAACAAAUCAAACGACUCGUCCUCCGAUUUUUUUUUCUAAACAAAAUUGGGACAGAAGACACAUUACACAAAAAAAAAAUAAGAGUCCAAUCACGGGGGGGCCUGCCAGUGCAGGCUCGCAUGUGGAACCAAACAAAAUGGGUGAGGCGUCCAAACUCAACACAGAGCCUGGCCUUUGUUUUUUUUUUUGUAAAUUAUUAUUUUUUAAUUUUUUUUAAAUUAAUGAUUUUUUUUCUCUAAUUGUUUUUUAUUUUUCAGAUUAUCAGAUUAUAUUUAUAAUAUGUGCAACCACGCUUGGUGUAUUUUUCUUCUUUUAUUCUAUUCAAUCAAUUUAAUUUGUGUCUCUAUUUUUAUUAUCAUUUUCUUUAAUAAAUAAAUUAUUUUGAUAAAUAAAUUUAGCAAAUAGAAUCAAAUAAAUUUCUUAUAUUUUAGAAUUAAAUAUCUACAUCAACACCUAACUCUUAAUUUUCAAAGCUUUAUAUUUUUCGAAGCUUUAUACCUUAGAAAAUGAUACCUCAAUUUUGUACUUAUGAACUAUGUUCUGCUUGGAAACCUCUGAAGGUGGAGCCUGUCACCGUGAGUCAACAGCUAGUCUUCAGCUUUAUUAAUGCAUAUUAUUAAUUAAAGCAUAUUAUUAUCUUCCUUCAUAUGUGGAUAGAAUCCACUCUUACUUUUCAAAGUUGGCUUAUUCAAUAGUGCGAAGUAUUUGAUACGUUCAUUAAUUAUCUUGGGCACCUGUGGACUUAAUUUCAAGAAUAGUUCCCUUCGAAUGCUGCUAAAAAUCAUGGUGGCUAUAAAUAGCUAGGAGCGGUGGAUAGGAGGAGAGCAUAAUCAUGUUAGUCGCAUAUAUUUCCAAGAUGAAGGCCUUUCUUAUCGUAUGCUUUCUCUUAGCUACCAUCGUCUUCUCUCCCCUGUCCACUUGCACUGCUCGAGAAUUGGCCGAGCGAGGUGAGAUUUUAUUUCCAACAUUAACUUCAAAAAAGCAGUUCAUUUUGUGUGUGUAAUCUCUGUGUACACGACCUUUUGUUAUAAAACUGAUGAGUCAACCUUUACUUCUACUUCCGGCAUUAAUUAAGUUAAGAUAAUCAUUAAUUUCAUGUUUUGUAUGUAUUUAUUGUUUAAUUAAUCUGUCGUGGGCUAUCUUAUAAAAAAAGAAGAAGAUGAUUCUGCUAUAAUAUCAGAUUAUGUCAACAUGAAUUUGCUGUAACAUGCGUGAAUCUUGCAGACGUAGGAACUCGGAACCCCAAUAAACCAGUGUUCAGUUGCGGAAGGGGUAAUCGAUAUUGCGUACCUGGCCCAUCACCAAAACGUAAAUGCACAAGUCCUUACCGGCGUGGUUGUGGGCGCCAUUAAGAUUAGAAGCAAGCAAAGUUGAGUGCUUAAAAGCAUGGAGAGCUUCUGCUGUCUUAGUCAAUAUGUAAAAUGAUGAGAACUAUUUAUGUGAGAAAAAUAAAUUAAGUUCUUAGUGAGUUAAUUUCAUGGUAUCUUUUGAGGUUUUUAUUUCGGUCAUUACGCAGUCCUCU